Molecule: long non-coding RNA, 4236 nt
Filed under: Mus musculus (house mouse)
Lineage: Eukaryota; Metazoa; Chordata; Mammalia; Rodentia; Muridae
Description: long non-coding RNA chr14:14025908-14030144
Source: RNAcentral
ACUAUACUUAUUAGGGUAAAAGGACGGAUGUUUAGAUUGCUGUAAAGAUUAUACUGAUUCAAUAGUCAUUGCAGAUUCACUAAUCUGAGUCGUUAGCUGGGCUUUCAGUACCAGUCACUGUUUCCGUCUUGUGCAUGUCAUAAGUUCAAUUAGAGAGCCAUUGGUUACUGCCAAGGUGUGUGUGGCGCCUUUACCAGCACUGUUACUGUGUCACGCUGGCUGUUGAUAUCGCUUCUAGACAGAGACAUCAGAGCUGAGGAGGGCUGUUACUCGCCUCUCGCUUGCCUUUGGGAACUGGCACUGUCUUGGUACUGUGGAAGCUAGUCCUCAGGGAGGAGGAGGCUUUCAGUUCAGGUGGAGGUCUGGAGCCUCUGGACCCUGUGUCUGAGUGCAUAGGACCUUCAGCAGAGAGACCUCCGUCCCUUCCACUCUGGAGGCAACAGCAAAUGGCUGUAUGUUUUUGGAGACUUUUGGACUGCACUAGACAACAGUUGAAAAGCAAGUUUCUCCUGUGUGGUAGUGGGUUUCAUUAGAUGGUCUUUGGUUCCUAGAAGAACCAUUGUCAGAUCAGAUGAGAAAAGCUCAUUAAAACUGUAUAUGUGUAUUUACACACAUCAUUACAUAUAUUAUACAUUUUUGGGUAAGUAGUUAGUCAUAUGAUUACCUAUAGAAUUUUUCAGAUACCCUUAAUUGUUAUGUUAUCCUCUUUCUGUAUUUCCCUCCCUCCCCUGCCCUUAAAGAGCCUCUCUCUCUGUUUCCCAUAUCAGGUCAUUUAUAUCCUGCUAAUCCUCCUUUCUCUCUUUCCACCUUCUGUAUUACCUCUGCCUACCUUCCUAAAGAAUAAAUACUUCUUUCCUCAUUUCCCUGUUUUACUUUCCUGGUUUCUGCAAAUUACUGUAGGCCAUCUGCUGACAUCUGAGGGUUUGGAGCCUCUGAUGAGAGAGAGAGCAUGUGGCAUUUGUAUUCUGGGUCUGAGUUCCCUUACUCAGUGCGAUAGCUUUUCUAGUUCUGCAUAUUUACCUGCAAAGUUUAUGAUUUGAUAUUUUUUUUGUAGUUGAGUAGUAUUACACUAUAUAUAUUACAUUUUCACUAUCUAAUCAUUGUUUGUAUGACUUUUGGUUGUUUCUGUUUCCUAGCUAUUGUGAAUAGAGCAGCAGUGGACAUGGCUCAGCAAAUAUAUGUGCAGUAUGAUGUUAAGUUCUUUUUUUUUUUAAGAAUUUAUUUAUUAUAUGUAAGUCCAUUGUAGCUGUCUUUAGACACCAGAAGAGGACGUCAUAUGUUACCACGGAUGUUACUACGGAUGGUUGUGAGCCACCAUGUGGUUUCUGGGAUUUGAACUCAGGACCUCCUAAAGAGCAGUUAGUGCUCUUACCCUCUGAGUCAUCUCACCAGCCACCGAUGUUAAGUUCUUUAUGCAUAAGCCAAGUGAGUGGUAACGCCGGGUCAUAUGGGAUAUUUAUUUAUUUAGCCCUUUGAGAAUUCUCCAAACCAAUUUCCUUCAUGGCUGUACCAGUUAGAAAUCCCAGCAACAGUUAGUGAAGGAUAAUGAACAAUUUUUGAUAUAGUUCUUAGCCAUUGUUUUUUUUUUCUUUUGAGACUUCUCUAUUCAUGUUUUUAACACCCCCCCCCCUUCCCCUGCCACAUACCUUUUACUCCUUGUUUUUUGGGUUCAUUGUAUAUUUUGGAUAUUAAUCCCUUGUCAGAUUUACAGCUGGCAAAAUUCUUUCUUAUUCUGCGGGCUUCCUCUUCAUACACUUGAUUGCUUGAAACUAAUUGUGAAGAAGUGAAGCCUUUUAGUGUUAUGAAGUCUCAGUUGUCAUUAGUUGCCCUUAUUUCUUGGGCAAAUGGAGUCCUAUUCAGGAAGUCCUUUCCUACACCUGUAUUAUAUAGGGCACUGCCUAUGUUUUCUUCUGGCACUUUCAGUGCUUCAAGUGUUAAGUCUUUGAUACAUUUGGAGUUAGUGUUUAUGCAGAAUAAUAGAUAAAGCUAUAAUUUCAGUCUUCUGCAUGUGGGCAUCGAGUUUUCAGUUUUCUCAGCACCAUAUUCUCUAGCUUAUGGUUUUAGUGUCUUUGUCAAAUAUUAAGUGGCUGAAGUUACAUUUAUGCCUGUUUGGUCUUUAAUUUUGUUCCAUUGGUCUACAUGUCUGUUUAUGUGCCAGUGCCAUAUAUGUAUUAUGUAUGUAUGUGUAUUUAUAUAUAUACACAUACCUACAUACACACACAAAGCUUUGUAAUGUAUGUUAAUAUAUGAAAUUAUAAUCUUUCCACCACUGUUCUUUCUGCUUGGGAUCGUUUUGACUAUUUGGGGUCCAUAUGAGUUUUGGGAUAGUUUUUUCUGUUUCUGUGAAAAAUGACAUUAGAAUUGUGAUUGUGAUUCUUUUAAUCUAUAAAUAGGUUUUGAUGGAAUGGUCAUUUUCACAAUGUUAAUUCUACCCAUCCAUGGGCGUGGGAUAGCUUUCUGUUUUUAGUGGCUUUCUAUUUUUUCUUUCUUUCUUCAGAGGUUUAAAGUUUUUAUUGUAGAGUAGAGGGUCCUUCACAUCCUUGGUUAUGUUUAUUCCUAGAUAUUUUUAUUUUCUUUGAGACUAAUAUGAUGGAAAUAUGUCCAUGUUCUCCUCCUCUGUGUGUUUGUUGUUGGGGUAUAGAAAAACCAUUGAUAUGUGCAAGCUGAUUCCGUACCCUGCCACAUUGCUGAAUUUGUUUCUACUGGUGGGAUCUCUAGUGUAUAGUAGCACCAUGUCCUCUGUAAAUAGCCCUGUUUGCAUGCUUCUCUUUUCCUUCUCUUGUCUUCCUGUUGCCACUAGUACUUGAAGCAGAUGGGCAUGUACUCAUGAGAAGGGCCGUGGUAGUGGGCAUCCCUGUCUCCGCCUAGACUUACGUGGGAAGUCUCACUCUUCACGGUUAGGAUGAUACUGGCUCUUAUGGAGAGUUAUGUUCCCUCUAGCCCUGCAUUCUCUUACAUUUGUCAUGAAGGCAUGUUGGAUUUGUCAGAGGCCUUUUCCUGAGUCCUUUGAGAUGAUCAUGUGAUAGGCAGAAUGCAGACUUGGUGUUAGAUUUCCUAACUAUGCAAAUCUCCCUUCCAGAAUGCUGCAAGUGCUGUGCAUACUGCCUUGAGAAUUUUCUGUUCUGUCUUAUUCCAUGCCUUUAGCUUUUAUCCCCAAAACAUUUGAAAAGCAAAUUAUUCAAGUUUUUCGUGUGCUAGAAGCUGAAGAUAGAAUUACAGACCCAUUGUGAAAGCUAGUUGUAAUUCCCAGGGAAGCUAAACUAAUUAAGCCUUUAUAUAGAGUUACCCACUAUAAGGGCUGGGUUUUCUGAUAGGUGUAGGAAAUUGAGUACAGAGUCCUUGCUCUGUACAAUGUUAAACACAAUUAAUACGCAUUUUCAUGGACCCAGUGCUGCACAAUCAAUUAAGAAGGCUAAUAAAUGGAUUUGAGUUAAUAUGAUCAAGGGAGACUUUCCCUUGAUCAAGGGGAUUUAAUAUUUGAGCUGGAUAUAGUGAUGAGAAAGAAGUGUUAUCCAGGAGGAGGAAGAUGUUCCUGAAUGGUCAUCCAGGAGGAGUCUGACAGAGAGGACAGGAGGGAAAUAAGGCUGAGAGGGUCAGUUCACAGAAGGUCAGGUAAGGAAUUCAGGUGAAUUACAAGUUUAAUGGAAACCCACUUGCAGGAGAAUAGAUUGAUGUAAUUUGUGUGGCAUGAAAGUCACUUUUAGAUGGUUUGUGGAUUGUCCAGGGUGGGUAACUGACUGCAUCACCAAGUGAGAUGUGAGAGUGGGUUGAGAUGUGGUGAUGACAGUAGACAUUCAGAGAGGUUCAAGAGAUAGAAUUGGGAUUGGCAUUCACACGAGUAAGUAAAGAGUUGGUUGGAGAUGACAGAGGCAGACACUUGGGGCUUGACUCACUGAAGGGUAUAGUUAGUGAGCUCAGAAAUGGAGUCCAUGCUGUGGAGAUCUGGCCGACUCGGUGCAUCAUUAGUGCAUUCGUUGGCCAUCCAUGUGCAGCUGUGAGUCAGCCCUGAAGAGAUUGUUUGAAACUUGAUGUCGCCCACUACAGUAGGACUCUUGGGUCAAGUCUGCAUCAUCAAAUGGUACACCAUGAACAGGUUUGUUCCAGUAUCAGAGGGGAAUCAGGAUCGAGAGGGUUGUGCUUCUAGAUAGAUCACACCAAAGGGAGGAUGAUGGAGAAGUCCCCAGUGAGAUGAUAGGGAGGCCAGAUGAGUGUGCUGAUGUAAAAACCCAUGAAAAG